GACGCCCAACAGCUAGCCCACCCAAACAAUAACAACAAAUCAACAUCAAUACCCCCUAAUACACGAGAGUUUUUAGUAAACAAAUCAUUUUUCCCCCUUAGUAUGGGCGACAGAAAAGGACCAAAAGAGCAAUAGAGAAAGUACCGCAAGGGAACGCUGAAAGAGAAGUGAAAUAACCCAGUGAAGCCUAAAAAAGCAGAGAUUUUAACUCGUACCUUUUGCAUCAUGAUUUAGCCAGUGUAACCCAAGCAAAGAGUGCUUUAGUUUGACAACCCGAAACUAAGUGAGCUACUCCAAGACAGCCUAUUAAUAGGGCAAACCCGUCUCUGUGGCAAAAGAGUGGGAAGAACUUUGAGUAGAGGUGACAGACCUACCGAACCUAGUUAUAGCUGGUUGCCCGAGAAUUGGAUAGAAGUUCAGCCCCUCGGAUUCUUUUUUCAUCUCAGUCUAACCCCCUCUGAUACCUAUGAGAAACCGUGAGAGUUAUUCAAAGGGGGUACAGCCCCUUUGAAACAAGACACAACUUUACCAGGUGGGUAAAGAUCAUA
Molecule: ribosomal RNA, 548 nt
Filed under: Parabembras curta
Lineage: Eukaryota; Metazoa; Chordata; Actinopteri; Perciformes; Parabembridae
Description: partial 16S ribosomal RNA
Rfam family: Bacterial large subunit ribosomal RNA
Source: RNAcentral